UACGGAGGGGGCUAGCGUUGUUCGGAAUUACUGGGCGUAAAGCGCACGUAGGCGGCUUUGUAAGUUAGAGGUGAAAGCCCAGGGCUUAACCCUGGAAAUUGCCUUUAAGACUGCAUCGCUAGAAUUGUGGAGAGGUAAGUGGAAUUCCGAGUGUAGAGGUGAAAUUCGUAGAUAUUCGGAAGAACACCAGUGGCGAAGGCGACUUACUGGACACAUAUUGACGCUGAGGUG
RNAcentral lists this ribosomal RNA (231 nucleotides) under uncultured bacterium. Its description in RNAcentral is "partial 16S ribosomal RNA". It matches the Rfam family "Bacterial small subunit ribosomal RNA", at positions 524 to 753 of the family's 1533-position model. The record is from RNAcentral.